GUUGGGGAGGCCGAGUGGUUAAGUCGUUGGAAUAGAAAACCAAUGGGAUCUUCCCGCGCAGGCCCGAAUCCUGCCCGCAACG
This is a non-coding RNA of Nematostella vectensis (starlet sea anemone), 82 nucleotides long. NCBI's taxonomy places the organism in Eukaryota, Metazoa, Cnidaria, Anthozoa, Actiniaria, Edwardsiidae. The record is from Rfam.